UCGAAAACCUGUCCCAGUUCGGACUGGAGUCUGCAACCCGACUCCACGAAGUUGGAUUCGCUAGUAAUCGCGCAUCAGCCAUGGCGCGGUGAAUACGUUCCCGGGCCUUGUACACACCGCCCGUCAAGCCAUGGGAGCCGGGGGCGCCUGAAGUCCGGGACCGCGAGGACCGGCCUAGGGCGAAACUGGUGACUGGGGCUAAGUCGUAACAAGGUACC
This 218-nucleotide ribosomal RNA is filed under the name uncultured bacterium. RNAcentral's name for it is "partial 16S ribosomal RNA". It matches the Rfam family "Bacterial small subunit ribosomal RNA", at positions 1275 to 1500 of the family's 1533-position model. The record is from RNAcentral.